This 679-nucleotide ribosomal RNA is filed under the name Pseudomonas aeruginosa. Its description in RNAcentral is "bacterial SSU rRNA". It matches the Rfam family "Bacterial small subunit ribosomal RNA", at positions 56 to 731 of the family's 1533-position model. Lineage: Bacteria; Pseudomonadati; Pseudomonadota; Gammaproteobacteria; Pseudomonadales; Pseudomonadaceae. The record is from RNAcentral.
UGCAGUCGAGCGGAUGAAGGGAGCUUGCUCCUGGAUUCAGCGGCGGACGGGUGAGCAAUGCCUAGGAAUCUGCCUGGUAGUGGGGGAUAACGUCCGGAAACGGGCGCUAAUACCGCAUACGUCCUGAGGGAGAAAGUGGGGGAUCUUCGGACCUCACGCUAUCAGAUGAGCCUAGGUCGGAUUAGCUAGUUGGUGGGGUAAAGGCCUACCAAGGCGACGAUCCGUAACUGGUCUGAGAGGAUGAUCAGUCACACUGGAACUGAGACACGGUCCAGACUCCUACGGGAGGCAGCAGUGGGGAAUAUUGGACAAUGGGCGAAAGCCUGAUCCAGCCAUGCCGCGUGUGUGAAGAAGGUCUUCGGAUUGUAAAGCACUUUAAGUUGGGAGGAAGGGCAGUAAGUUAAUACCUUGCUGUUUUGACGUUACCAACAGAAUAAGCACCGGCUAACUUCGUGCCAGCAGCCGCGGUAAUACGAAGGGUGCAAGCGUUAAUCGGAAUUACUGGGCGUAAAGCGCGCGUAGGUGGUUCAGCAAGUUGGAUGUGAAAUCCCCGGGCUCAACCUGGGAACUGCAUCCAAAACUACUGAGCUAGAGUACGGUAGAGGGUGGUGGAAUUUCCUGUGUAGCGGUGAAAUGCGUAGAUAUAGGAAGGAACACCAGUGGCGAACGCGACCACCUG